GGCUUUUUUCGCGCGGGAGCUCGACCCGCGACCGAGCAGCUGAUCAAGUUCGUCAGCGACCACAAGCACACGUUCGGAGUCGAGCCGAUCUGCCGGGUCAUGGGGAUCGCUCCG
Kibdelosporangium phytohabitans is the source of this 114-nucleotide regulatory RNA element. It matches the Rfam family "ALIL pseudoknot". Lineage: Bacteria; Bacillati; Actinomycetota; Actinomycetes; Pseudonocardiales; Pseudonocardiaceae. The record is from Rfam.